RNAcentral lists this ribosomal RNA (250 nucleotides) under uncultured bacterium. RNAcentral's name for it is "partial 16S ribosomal RNA". It matches the Rfam family "Bacterial small subunit ribosomal RNA", at positions 524 to 773 of the family's 1533-position model. The record is from RNAcentral.
UACGGAGGGUGCAAGCGUUAUCCGGAAUCACUGGGUUUAAAGGGUGCGUAGGCGGCCUGGUAAGUCAGGGGUGAAAGCCCGCCGCUCAACGGCGGGACUGCCCUUGAUACUGCCAGGCUCGAAUUGGGUUGAGGCAGGCGGAAUGUGGCAUGUAGCGGUGAAAUGCUUAGAUAUGCCAUAGAACACCGAUUGCGAAGGCAGCCUGCCAAGCCUUGAUUGACGCUGAGGCACGAAAGCGUGGGGAGCGAAC